AUUGAACGCUGGCGGCGUGCCUAACACAUGCAAGUCGAGCGGUAACAGGUGUAGCAAUACAUGCUGACGAGCGGCGAACGGGUGAGUAAUGCUUUGGAAUCUUCCCAGUAGUGGGGAAUAACCAGUCGAAAGAUUGGCUAAUACCGCAUACGUCUGAAAAGGGAAAGCGGGGGCUCGUAAGACCUCGCGCUAUUGGAUGAGCCAAAGUCGGAUUAGCUAGUUGGUGGGGUAAUGGCCUACCAAGGCGACAAUCCGUAGCUGGUCUGAGAGGACGACCAGCCACACCGGAACUGAGACACGGUCCGGACUCCUACGGGAGGCAGCAGUGGGGAAUAUUGGACAAUGGGGGAAACCCUGAUCCAGCGACGCCGCGUGUGUGAAGAAGGCCUGCGGGUUGUAAAGCACUUUUAGUGGGGACAAAAAGCUACGGACUAAUACUCUGUGGUCUUGAUUUAACCCAAAGAAAAAGCACCGGCUAACUCUGUGCCAGCAGCCGCGGUAAUACAGAGGGUGCGAGCGUUAAUCGGAAUUACUGGGCGUAAAGCGCGCGUAGACGGUUUUGUAAGUCAGAUGUGAAAUCCCUGGGCUCAACCUGGGAACUGCAUUUGAGACUGCAU
RNAcentral lists this ribosomal RNA (617 nucleotides) under uncultured bacterium. Its description in RNAcentral is "bacterial SSU rRNA". It matches the Rfam family "Bacterial small subunit ribosomal RNA", at positions 28 to 638 of the family's 1533-position model. The record is from RNAcentral.